This is a long non-coding RNA of Scatophagus argus, 1287 nucleotides long. RefSeq lists it as uncharacterized. The transcript has 5 exons. NCBI's taxonomy places the organism in Eukaryota, Metazoa, Chordata, Actinopteri, Scatophagidae. The record is from RefSeq and is a predicted model, not a curated record.
CUGAUUGUUUUCACCUGUCUGAUCCCCCUUGUUCAUAUAUACCUAUGCACUCCUUGUGUGUGUGUUGUUGGUUUGUCUGUGUUGCCUUGAGUGCCUGCUUCAGAUUAGAUUUUUUCUCUCCUUGUGAUCCCAGUGAUCUUUGUGUUUGCCUUUUUGGAUGAUUUCUUUAUUUGAACAAUUCCUACAUGGACUCCCAGCCGCCUUUAGUUUACGACCCCUGAUUCUAUGAGCCCUAGACCAUCAGAAUGACAGCAGGAACAGCUGAUCCCUGCAGAACCAGCUUUGGGCUGACCCAGAUGAGGACACUCCACUGUAAUCAGGCCCCGGAGAUGCUCCACAACAGGUGAAAUCACACCUGGGUGAAGAGGCUGAGACCGGCUGAACUUUGAUGGAUUUCAUAUUGUUAUCUCCCAGGAUGAAAGCUUGGCUGCAGGGACUACCUGUCAGGAAUACAAGGAUAGCACCUUGGAAGUCGAUGGAUUUUUGAAAUUUGAAUCAUGUCAGUACAUGUCCUCAUCCUGCACAUCCAAGUGGCCUUGCAGCAAAACCUCAACGUUACGGGCAGUGCAUUUAAAAGCCAAGAGGCUGGUGGCACACAGCUGAGGCUGGAACCUAGUCAGCUAGCUGCGAGCCCCACAUGCCAAAAAGCACCAGAAAAACCCAUUUACUAAGCUGCGAGGUUCAGUGGGAAGGAACAAUGGCAGCUCCUGCAGAAUCUGAUUAAGAAGGAUGUUCAUGGCUUCUUCCAUGCUUGCUGGGAGCACUCCUUCCUAAUGCACCUGUGCCUACAAAGUGAAACCAAAAAGCCGUUUGGCUGAAGCAAGAGAAAAUGUAGCCUUGCUUGGAGAUGAGCCUGGACACACACACACACACAAACAAUAAUCACAUUCCCCCCAUUCACCCCGUUUGUGCUGGUCCACCAUUUAAGGGCCAAACAAGAUCCUUAGUUCCUGUUACUAAGCCAUGCCAAAACUUAUCUUUAUUCCACAUUAAAAGGUAGCAAGUCGGAGAAAAAACAGCAUAAACAAUAGAACAUAAUGUGAUCCACGUGGCAGAACAGUACAACCCCGUAACAACUUAAAAAUCACAUCUUGCAUAAAGCUAAUUUGUACUGAUGAAGGCCUUUUCAGUAUCAUAGCCUGCCAUGUAAAUCAGGUUUGCAUAAUUGAUUAACUUAACCUUACAUUUCACCUUGACUUACUGAGUUUAAAGAAUGAUCUCAUUAUUAUGCAGUACCUUCGGGCUUGUUUUGCUGAUAGAUGUACAACAAAAUGAAAAUAAAAGGAU